UAGCCCCGGGGGAAAGGAGGGGAUCGUAAGACCUUUCGCUAAUAGAUGACCUUGGAUUAGCUAGUUGGUGGGGUAAAUGCCUACCAAGGCAACGUCCGCUGGUCUGAGAGGACGAUCAGCCACACUGGAACUGAGACACGUCCCUCCUACGGGAGGCAGCAGUGGGGAAUAUUGGACAAUGGGCGAAGCAUCCAGCAAUACCGCGUGUGUGAAGAAGGCCUUAAGGUUGUAAGCAUCAAUUGGGAGGAAAACCUCAUAGCUAAUAUCUAUGAGCUUGAAUUCUUUAGAAGAAGCACCGGCUAACUUCGUGCCAGCAGCCGCGGUAU
This 326-nucleotide ribosomal RNA is filed under the name uncultured bacterium. RNAcentral describes it as "bacterial SSU rRNA". It matches the Rfam family "Bacterial small subunit ribosomal RNA", at positions 191 to 523 of the family's 1533-position model. The record is from RNAcentral.